UGGCAGCAUCGGGACUAGUCACUAUUCCCC
This 30-nucleotide non-coding RNA is filed under the name Rattus norvegicus (Norway rat). Lineage: Eukaryota; Metazoa; Chordata; Mammalia; Rodentia; Muridae. The record is from RNAcentral.